Molecule: unclassified non-coding RNA, 421 nt
Filed under: Hevea brasiliensis (rubber tree)
Lineage: Eukaryota; Viridiplantae; Streptophyta; Magnoliopsida; Malpighiales; Euphorbiaceae
Source: RNAcentral
CUUUAAUGCCUUUGUAAAAGCAUAUAGAUAUCCAAGAAUACACUUGGAAAAGACUUGAGAGAGUUACGUCGUUUUUUGUUCUUUUCUUUUAUUGAAUCCUUUUUAGUUUUUUGUUUUCAUACGGAACUGAUAAUCUUUCCUCUGAUGAUGUUUUCGAAACCAAAUCAACGCUUGGUGUAAUGGGUACUCGUUCCUUUUCCUAGUAAAAAAAGAAGAAAAGAAAAGAAAAGAAAAGAUUGGAGCUGCCUGGUACGUGCCGCUGCAGCGGCAGCAUUUAUCUUAAUCCAUUGGAGUGGACCGACCAUAUGCCUUUCAAAAAUUCGAAUUUAAUCAUUUUAAAUGUUGAAAUUGUUUAUAAUAAUUUUAUUUUAUUAAUUGUUAUUUUUAUAUGAUUGAGAUAGCCAUACUUUAAAAAAAAAAG